UUCCGUGAUCAUCUUCACUGUCGUAAAACUUUGAGCUGCCUAGGAGCCAGUAUUCAGCUCGCAGCCUUCAGAUGACGAUGGAGAACUCUCCUCUCUGUCUGCACCGUACCUGCCUGGAUGCCACCAUGCUCCUACCUUGAUGAUAAUGGACUGAACAUCUGAACCU
This is a long non-coding RNA of Mus musculus (house mouse), 166 nucleotides long. RefSeq annotates it as predicted gene, 52639. Lineage: Eukaryota; Metazoa; Chordata; Mammalia; Rodentia; Muridae. The transcript has 2 exons. The record is from RefSeq and is a predicted model, not a curated record.